RNAcentral lists this non-coding RNA (39 nucleotides) under Karenia brevis. The record is from RNAcentral. Lineage: Eukaryota; Dinophyceae; Gymnodiniales; Kareniaceae.
AAGCAGAGAGCUGCGUGAGGCAGGCUUCACAAGCAGAGA